This 314-nucleotide long non-coding RNA is filed under the name Malus domestica (apple). RNAcentral's name for it is "long non-coding RNA (MDOM_LNC009035)". The record is from RNAcentral. Lineage: Eukaryota; Viridiplantae; Streptophyta; Magnoliopsida; Rosales; Rosaceae.
AUAAAGUGUUCAUGCCUUUGUGCUUUCUUCUCAAGUUCUUUGUUCAUGUAACAAAGAAACAAGCACUAAGUGUUUGUAUUGACUAAGAGUUGUUCAAAGCAACUCCUAUUUCUUCAUACAACAAAUUGUAAUUGAAGAAUUAUGACAUUAAAAAUGUUGUCCUCUUUAUGAUAGACCUUUUCUAACAUAUUCUUCUAAUGAUAUAUUAUCAAUAGUAAGAUUGUGAGGAUGAGACUACUUUGGUACUUUUACAAGCCAUUAAAGACAAUCUAUGGUUUUGUAGUACCAAGUCCGUAAACUAAAUGUUCGGCUUU